AGCGCGCGCGCGAGUCACCGGGAACCGAUAAACCCGUAGGCGCAAUGAAAGUGAAGGUCCGCCUCGAGCGGACCGAGGGAGGAUCGGCGGCGUCUUUAAAACGCGCCGCCGCGCACUCCCGGGGCGUCUCGCACUCAUUGCGAGGCGAGGCGCACCACGAGCGCGCGCGCUGGGACCCGAAAGAUGGUGAACUAUGCCUGGUCAGGACGAAGUCAGGGGAAACCCUGAUGGAGGUCCGUAGCGAUUCUGACGUGCAAAUCGAUCGUCGGAACUGGGUAUAGGGGCGAAAGACUAAUCGAACCAUCUAGUAGCUGGUUCCCUCCGAAGUUUCCCUCAGGAUAGCUGGCGCUCGCGCGAAACGAUUUUACGAGUCUCAUCCGGUAAAGCGAAUGAUUAGAGGCAUUGGGGUCGAAACGGCCUCAACCUAUUCUCAAACUUUAAAUGGGUGAGAUCUCCGGCUUGCUUGAAUCGUGAAGCCGGAGGU
This 484-nucleotide ribosomal RNA is filed under the name Uvarus rivulorum. Its description in RNAcentral is "eukaryotic LSU rRNA". It matches the Rfam family "Eukaryotic large subunit ribosomal RNA", at positions 677 to 1108 of the family's 3401-position model. Lineage: Eukaryota; Metazoa; Arthropoda; Insecta; Coleoptera; Dytiscidae. The record is from RNAcentral.